AACGAACGCUGGCGGCAUGCCUAACACAUGCAAGUCGAACGGACGGUAGCAAUACCGUUAGUGGCGGACGGGUGAGUAACGCGUGGGAACCUGCCUCGAAGUUCGGAAUAACCGCGGGAAACUGCGGCUAAUACCGGAUGUGGCCUGAAGGGUCAAAGGCGCAAGUCGCUUCGAGAGGGGCCCGCGUCCGAUUAGCUAGUUGGUGGGGUAAACGCCUACCGAAGGCGACGAUCGGUAGCUGGUCUGAGAGGAUGAUCAGCCACACUGGGACUGAGACACGGCCCAGACUCCUACGGGAGGCAGCAGUGGGGAAUAUUGGACAAAUGGGGGAAAACCCUGAUCCAGCAAUGCCGCGUGGGUGAUGAAGGCCUUGGUUGG
Molecule: ribosomal RNA, 378 nt
Filed under: uncultured bacterium
Lineage: Bacteria
Description: bacterial SSU rRNA
Rfam family: Bacterial small subunit ribosomal RNA
Source: RNAcentral